UUAUUUUUAUAUUUAUUGGUUGACAAAUGGUUGUCGAUUAAUUAAUUAAAUACAUGCUGUCCUUUAGACAUUCCAUUACCUAGAGCGCACGAUGGAAGGGAUUAGAUAUGCGUGGGCCUUCUAUCUCCUCUGGAUUCCCAUUGCUCGUUAAAGCCAGGCCCGUACACAAGUUUAAGAGAAACCAGAGUGCAUUCAUUGCAAACUGGAGAAUCUAUCAGCACAAAGAACGUGGAGGAAAGCAUGGAUUUUGCUCAAAAUAUGAAUGGUGCUACUUCUAGUUGGUAAAAUAAAGGUGCCAAGAUACCAUUCUCGCUCUUGCUUGGUUCGACUUUACUCUUCCUUAAAAAACUGAGAGCUU
Molecule: long non-coding RNA, 358 nt
Filed under: Populus trichocarpa (black cottonwood)
Lineage: Eukaryota; Viridiplantae; Streptophyta; Magnoliopsida; Malpighiales; Salicaceae
Description: long non-coding RNA (PTRI_LNC004774)
Source: RNAcentral